CUGCGGCCGUGAUAGCAGCGGCUACCCCGCAGGGAGGCGGCGGAACGAAGUGGAGCCGCCGACCGAGGAGUAGUAGCGGAUAGCACGAAUUGUC
This 94-nucleotide unclassified non-coding RNA is filed under the name Kaistella treverensis. RNAcentral's name for it is "Chryseobacterium treverense Flavo-1 RNA". The record is from RNAcentral. Lineage: Bacteria; Pseudomonadati; Bacteroidota; Flavobacteriia; Flavobacteriales; Weeksellaceae.